UGGGGAAUAUUGGACAAUGGGCGCAAGCCUGAUCCAGCCAUGCCGCGUGGGUGAUGAAGGCCCUAGGGUUGUAAAGCCCUUUCGGCGGGGAAGAUAAUGACGGUACCCGCAGAAGAAGCCCCGGCUAACUUCGUGCCAGCAGCCGCGGUAAUACGAAGGGGGCUAGCGUUGCUCGGAAUUACUGGGCGUAAAGCGCACGUAGGCGGUUUCUUAAGUCGGGGGUGAAAUCCUGGAGCUCAACUCCAGAACUGCCUUCGAUACUGGGAAACUUGAGUUCGGGAGAGGUGAGUGGAACUGCGAGUGUAGAGGUGAAAUUCGUAGAUAUUGGGAAGAACACCGGUGGCGAAGGCGGCACCCUGGACCGUUACUGACGCUGAGGCGCGAAAGCGUGGGGAGCAAACAGGAUUAGAUACCCGCGUAGUCC
Molecule: ribosomal RNA, 424 nt
Filed under: uncultured bacterium
Lineage: Bacteria
Description: bacterial SSU rRNA
Rfam family: Bacterial small subunit ribosomal RNA
Source: RNAcentral